GCUGUCCAAUUGCUGACAAGAAUAUCAAAGGGUAGGAAUGGGAAUGUAUCCAAUCAGCGUCGACGUUGUUUCAGAACGUUUCAGAAGCAUGAUGGGCGAUGGAGCUACCGCCAAAGGAUUCGUUGGUGUUCGGUAGAACUCGGCAGAGUCGUUUUUGGUCGUGACGCAGAUGUAACAUGGACGCCGCCGGUGAUUACAACCAGCAUGGAUACCGGAUCUCAGCAGCCACUGAAUUCAGUUCGGUCUCUUCUCCAGCAUCCGUUCGAGAGGAGAACUAUGGUGGAAAAACUUAAUGUCAAAGAGCUUGGACCAGAUCAGCCCGACGUAAAGAUAAGCCAGCAGGAGAAGGAGAGAGAUAAGGCAUGGAUGAGUCAGGAGUUACAGACAUGAAACAUUUUUCUGAGAAGGUGAAGAAACACGAGUCAUCCCGGGCACACAUGGACAACAACACGGUGAAGCUAGCCAUGCUAGGCAGCAGAGCUAACGUUGCCAUGCAGGGAACAACAGCAGCUGGGUGCAGAGGUUUUUCACACCAUCCUGAGCCAUGCAAAAGAAGAUUCUUGUCACCACACCCAUGACCACAGCCGAAUCAGAAAGGUGCUUUUCUACUUUAAAGAGGAUUAAGACUUUCCUGAGGAACACCAUGACACAGGAUGGGCUGAAUGCUCUUGCCAUGCUCUCCAUGGGAAAAAAAAGCUUGUCACAAACAUUCCUGACUUCAAUAAAAAGCUAAUCGAGAGCUUUGCCACUCAGAAGGACAGAAGGGCAAAAUUUCUGUACAAAUGAGGUAUCACACACACACAAAUGCAUCCACUUGAUCUUUGUAUAAAGUUGACCUUGGCACAACACUCCAGAAAUAUUUAACAGUGUAAAUUUCUGGCAUUUUGUCUAAGUGGUGCUUACUACCAUUACUGUAACAGUGACCUGCUCAUAAUUUUUGGUGUUCACUCAAAUGUUGAAAUUAAACAAAAUGUUUUUGUUACUUGCCUCUUGCAUUGCCUAUUUACCAUUUAUGGUCAUGUUAUUUUAUGUGCAAUUUAAUGCAGUAUUUUUCAACCUUAGUCCGCAAGGCAGCGUGCCAAUAGUCAGACACACCUGGAUUAAUCAGUUUGUCCAAUGAUGUAAGACAGGAAAUAAAAGAGCUGUGCUUAAUUCAGGAAAUAGUGAAGUUGUGCACAAAGCUCAGAAAGCACAAGUUUGUUUAAAAAUAAAAAAAUAGCACAGCCCCACCAAAAACAUUUUUCACCAGCCG
Molecule: long non-coding RNA, 1252 nt
Organism: Nothobranchius furzeri (turquoise killifish)
Lineage: Eukaryota; Metazoa; Chordata; Actinopteri; Cyprinodontiformes; Nothobranchiidae
Source: RefSeq, a predicted model, not a curated record